AACAUCACUUUAAGUCUCUGCU
This 22-nucleotide microRNA is filed under the name Salmo salar (Atlantic salmon). RNAcentral's name for it is "ssa-miR-499a-3p". Its record names the gene ssa-miR-499a-3p. The record is from miRBase by way of RNAcentral. Lineage: Eukaryota; Metazoa; Chordata; Actinopteri; Salmoniformes; Salmonidae.